This 460-nucleotide ribosomal RNA is filed under the name uncultured bacterium. RNAcentral's name for it is "partial 16S ribosomal RNA". It matches the Rfam family "Bacterial small subunit ribosomal RNA", at positions 338 to 795 of the family's 1533-position model. The record is from RNAcentral.
CCUACGGGAGACAGCAGUGAGGAAUAUUGGUCAAUGGGCGGGAGCCUGAACCAGCCAAGUCGCGUGAGGGAAGACGGUCCUAUGGAUUGUAAACCUCUUUAGGCGGGGAGCAAUGCCGGGCACGUGUGCCGGGCGGGAGAGUACCCGCAGAAUAAGCAUCGGCUAACUCCGUGCCAGCAGCCGCGGUAAUACGGAGGAUGCGAGCGUUAUCCGGAUUUAUUGGGUUUAAAGGGUGCGUAGGCGGAUUUUUAAGUCAGCGGUAAAAUGUCCGGGCUCAACCCGGGCCGGCCGUUGAAACUGGGGAUCUUGAGUGGGCGAGAAGUAGGCGGAAUGCGUGGUGUAGCGGUGAAAUGCAUAGAUAUCACGCAGAACUCCGAUUGCGAAGGCAGCAUACCGGCGCCCGACUGACGCUGAGGCACGAAAGCGUGGGGAUCGAACAGGAUUAGAUACCCUAGUAGUC